This is a long non-coding RNA of Dromaius novaehollandiae (emu), 2968 nucleotides long. RefSeq lists it as uncharacterized. The record is from RefSeq and is a predicted model, not a curated record. Lineage: Eukaryota; Metazoa; Chordata; Aves; Casuariiformes; Dromaiidae. The transcript has 2 exons.
UAUCGCUUGGUUGCAAUACAUCAGUGCAACGUUUGGGAAAAGCGAACCCGAGGAAAUUACUUGCAGUGUUUCUGUACCAUCAAAAAGCGGUAAAGGGCUGUGGGUGAGCGGUCUUGACAGAUGCACAAAGGAAUUUGACAUUUGAGCUGUAGAUGAUGUGAUUCACAGUAGGGUCCACUGUUAGCAAGAACAUCAGAACAUGCACAUGUGUCCUGAAACACAUCAUACCAGUGUAAUGUUGCAAUCAUCUGCAGAAAUAUACUUAAAAAGGUAAUGUUCUGUUCUCUGAGGAUAUUUUCUAAGAAACACAACUUGACAGGUCUCUCUUUGCCUCUGUUUUGAGAGCUGGUAUACUGCUUCAAGUACUUGAUACCAUGUCUGUGGGUGGUAAUUUCACUUACAAAAUUUCAAAUGUUUAUUUUUAUUUGUGGUAAGAUCAAACUUCUAAGAUAUGUAGGCACCUCUGUCUCUUUGUUGCAAUACCUUUGUCACUUUAGUGGGGCCUGUCUUCUGCUACAGUUUUUUUUCCUGCCAAAAACAUAUUUUAUUUAUGUGUUUAUUCUUAUCAUAGCACUUCACUUAGUAGUUCUGGGCAUAACACAAGGUACCACUUUAUUUGAAUGUAGAGCAGUCCACUUCAGAAAGUUGACAAUAAAAUACAAGGUUUAAGGCAACAGAAAGAUACCAGUAAACAGGGCAGCACAAUAAUACUGUGCCAUCAUUGGCCCAAGCCAAACUCAUGCUGCCGAUUAGUAUUCAGUGAGACAGAUAAGUAUUUGUACAUUUUUUGAGGGCCAAGGUAGAAAGGAGGAAUCACUGGGGAAGUCCAUGGUGAAUAGUCGGCAGUGAAACAGAAGCAUUGUGCUAUCGGGGCAAGUCAUGCUGCUGUUAAGUGUUACGAAGUGAUAAUGUAGCCUCAGCUCCAAAGAUGUACCAAGAACAAAGAAAGCCACAGAGGUUUUUUUUAAUCUUUUCAAAAAAAUGGAGCAUAAGCUUGCACAAGUCAGUGGCCUCAUGUCUCAUCUUUGAGCUGUUCCUUUCCAUGCAGCUGUUCCUUUACAAUAGAGAUUCACACUUAAAGCAACUUCUGUAGUUAAAAUCUGGCUCAGUUUUACACACACAAUAACCUCCUCGGGUUAUUUUUUGUCAAUUCAUGAAUGAGACAAGUUCAAGGGAGCUCUGCACAGGGAAUUCUUCAGUAGAUGGCACUCUUCUCUCUGCUGAGGGAUUUGAUACAAUGAGAGCUACUUCCUUUAUGUUCUACAGAAAUCGCAAGGAAUACCAAUAAAGCUCUGCCUAACUAUGCAAUAAAGUAACCCCUCACUGUUUUUCACAGAUCUGGAGCUCUCAAGUCCUGGCGCCUGGCUUCCUCCCUGUUUAGAUCAUGAAAGUCUAUUUCUGUUCAGUCUGAAUUCCUCUUGAAAUCUUAAUGGUGAAUAUUCUUUAUUUUUUAAAAAAGAGCUUAGUAGUAGUUAUGUAAGUUACACGCAUCAGAAUUUGAGUGUAGAACUAUUCAGCUUGUGCAGCCAUUUUGCUCUAGUUCAUGGUUUUAUGUUACUAUUCUGUCAAUGACAAAUCCAGUUUAAGAACUUGCUAAACUAUCAUCGGUGUGUUGAUUUUUUUGUUGCUCUUUGAAACCACAAAAUUUCAUAGAUCCAGUUUAAAAAGCAGUCACACUGAAUUAGUGUAAGUGAGGCGGUAACAUUAGGAAAGGGGGCAAUAAAAACCUGCCAGGCAUUAGGGGGCCAUCACCUCUUAAAUCAGAUCUGCUUGAUAACCAAGUAAUACAUAGCCAUGGCUUUACAGCUUUCUAAAGUGUACAUUGUUUUCCUUGUCCCUGAAUAGGAGGGUGAGAGAAAAGAGUGAAAAUAAAUUUGUAUAAGACAAAAGAUUGCAAGAAAAAAUUAAGUGCGGCAAAUUCAUAAAAUGCAAAAUAUAAAGAGAUGAAUUAGUUCAUAUUUUUAAAGUUUUGGAUUCUGGAGUCAUAUUAUUUCAAUUCACUGCUUUUUAAGCACUUCUUUAAGUAUCUCUUUUAUUGGACUGGCGCACUUUUCUUCAUCCUUGCCUCUUUCCUAUGCUCUCCAAAAGACCCUUAGCCACUCAUUAAAACCACAAAGAUGGUAAUAUUUCUAAAAUCUGGAGCCUGGAGCUAUCAUAUAUUCAUUUUCUUCAUUUAAAAGGGAAGGAUUUGCUACCAUGGUUGAAAUAAAGCUGUCAGCACCUGUUUUUUCCAGUAUUAAUGCUGGAGCCUGAGCAUUUUGACCUGUUGGAAUGAAGAGGCCCUAAGUAAUGUGUGGAAGAGGAAUAUGAGUAUUAUUUGUGUACAUCCCUACAGUGCCAGUCAACUUUUGAGCAAUGGAAAAGUAUGCACCGUUGAGAACUAUUUAAAGGGCAUCCUAUUACAAAAACUGAUUCAAGCAGUGGCAUUCUACAUGAGGGAAAUGACAGCUGAAUUUAAUGACAAAUAAAUGUAAUCUUAGACGUCUUUUUCUUUCUUAAUUCAAAACAAAGCAAAUCGGCUCCUCACGCAUAAGGGACUGGAGCCAAGAUCAAUGCUUUCUGUCCUUGGGAGAAACUACACAGCAGCUAAAAUGUUGGACCACUGUGCUACAAACAUGGCAUAAAUGAAUUACCAGCACCUUCAUCUCUAUAUCCAUUCAGUCCUGCAGCUCUCUUUUGAAAGAGUAACAGCUACAAAAUUCAUCUAUUAUCUGGCAAAUAGAUUAAAACUUUCAAAUGCAUUUCAUACAGAAUUCCAAAUAGUCUUCACACAGGAAGGUUACUAAUUGGGAACCUCUUACUUUUGUUCAUGGCUGAAUGGAGGUGUGUUGGACAGGCUUUUUUUAACACUUUACAAAGGAAAUGAUUUUUUACAUUUCUUUGGGGAAAAAGGGGGGAUGUGAGGUGUGAGGCUUCUUUUUUGGAACAUGUUCUUUAAACAAAUAAAAGCAAAAUGAUUUAACAGUAA